Molecule: ribosomal RNA, 520 nt
Filed under: uncultured bacterium
Lineage: Bacteria
Description: bacterial SSU rRNA
Rfam family: Archaeal small subunit ribosomal RNA
Source: RNAcentral
AACCUCCGCAAUGUGAGAAAUCGCGACGGGGGGAUCCCAAGUGCCAUUCUUAACGGGAUGGCUUUUCAUUAGUGUAAAGAGCUUUUGGAAUAAGAGCUGGGCAAGACCGGUGCCAGCCGCCGCGGUAACACCGGCAGCUCUAGUGGUAACAAUUUUUAUUGGGCCUAAAGCGUCCGUAGCCGGUUUAAUAAGUCUCUGGUGAAAUCCUGCAGCUUAACUGUGGGAAUUGCUGGAGAUACUAUUAGACUUGAGACCGGGAGAGGUUAGAGGUACUCCCAGGGUAGAGGUGAAAUUCUGUAAUCCUGGGAGGACCGCCUGUUGCGAAGGCGUCUAACUGGAACGGUUCUGACGGUGAGGGACGAAAGUUAGGGGCGCGAACCGGAUUAGAUACCCGGGUAGUCCUAACUGUAAACGAUGCGGACUUGGUGUUGGGGUGGCUUUGAGCUGCUUCAGUGCCGAAGGGAAGCUGUUAAGUCGCCGCCUGGGAAGUACGGUCGCAAGACUGAAACUUAAAGGAAUU